UAAUUAAAAUAGAACUUUUUUCCCGAUAAAAAAAGAUCUAUAUAAGAUUAAGUUAUAGCUUACCCCCUCAAUGUGGAAUUAUUGUGUAUAAAAACUUAUAUAGAAGCGAAAUACUUACAAUUUUUUUGAUAUCUGGAUUGAGUUUAAAAGAAUUUAGUUCUUAAAGUAGUUGAAAAGUUAUAAGAUUUUUCAAAAUGUAGAAUUUUAGAUAUAAGUAUAAUAUUGGAAUAAUUUUCUAAAUCUUUAAAGCUUAUAUAUUAUAUAUAUCAAAUUUUUAUCUAGUAAAAAUAAACUUUUUUAAGUCACAUUAACGUGGUUAAAUAAUAAUGUUUAAAUAAGUAUUUUUAAACAAAUCUUGAAAAGGAACUCGGCAAAACUAUUUAUCCUCAACUGUUUAACAAAAACAUAGCUUAAAGAAAGUAAUUAUAUUUUAAGUGAUUUCUGCCCAGUGAAUUUUUUUAACGGCCGCAGUACACUGACUGUGCUAAGGUAGCAUAAUAAUUUGGCUUUUAAUUGGAGUCGGGUAUGAAAGGGAUUAUGGGGAACAACUGUCUUUUCUGGAUAAAGUAAAAGUUGCUAAGAAAGUGAAAAUUCUUUCAGUACGGCACGUAAGACGAGAAGACCCUAAGAAUUUUUAUGAAUUAAUGUUUUACUGCAUAUAUUAAAAUUUUUGUUGGGGCAACAUCUUUGGUCAACCAAAGUUCAAUUAUAAUUUACAUAACAAAUUAUUUAAAACAAGAUUAAAUUACCUUAGGGAUAACAGCAUAAUUAUUUUAAUAGAUUGUGACCUCGAUGUUGGACUAAGGACUUUAUUAAAUAGCCUUUAAUUAAGCUAGUUCUGUUCGAACUAUUACACCUUA
RNAcentral lists this ribosomal RNA (860 nucleotides) under Schileykula maculata. RNAcentral's name for it is "partial 16S ribosomal RNA". The stretch from base 343 to 598 matches the Rfam family "Archaeal large subunit ribosomal RNA", at positions 1786 to 2143 of the family's 2987-position model. Lineage: Eukaryota; Metazoa; Mollusca; Gastropoda; Stylommatophora; Orculidae. The record is from RNAcentral.